AUUACAGAGCGUGAGGCUCAGUCGUGGCAUCUGCCGCGUGCUGGGCCGACCCUCCCACCCGUGUCGAUUUGUAUCUUGUUGCUUUGGCGGGCCGGGCCGCGUCGUCGCUGCUCCGCAAGGAUAUGCGUCGGCCGCCCACCGGUUUCGGCUGGAGCGCGCCCGCCAAAGACCCAACCAAAACUCAUGUUGUUUUUGUCGUCUCAGCUUUAUUAUUGAAAUUGAUAAAACUUUCAACAACGGAUCUCUUGGCUCUGGCAUCGAUGAAGAACGCAGCGAAAUGCGAUAAGUAAUGUGAAUUGCAGAAUUUAGUGAAUCAUCGAAUCUUUGAACGCACAUUGCGCCCCUUGGUAUUCCGAGGGGCAUGCCUGUUCGAGCGUCAUAACACCCCCUCCAGCUGCCUUUGUGUGGCUGCGGUGUUGGGGCUCGUCGCGAUGCGGCGGCCCUUAAAGACAGUGGCGGUCCCGGCGUGGGCUCUACGCGUAGUAACUUGUUUCUCGCGACAGAGUGACGACGGUGGCUUGCCAGAAUAAACCCACUUGCUCCAGUCACAUGGAUCACAGGUUGACCUCGAAUCAGGUAGGAAUACCCGCUGAACUUAAGCAUAUCAAUAAGCGGAGG
This 618-nucleotide ribosomal RNA is filed under the name Erysiphe hypophylla. RNAcentral describes it as "eukaryotic LSU rRNA". The stretch from base 226 to 379 matches the Rfam family "5.8S ribosomal RNA". The record is from RNAcentral. Lineage: Eukaryota; Fungi; Ascomycota; Leotiomycetes; Helotiales; Erysiphaceae.